GAUCAACGCUGGCGGCGUGCCUAAUGCAUGCAAGUCGAACGGGGUCGUCUUCGGACGGCUUACGUGGCGGACGGGUGAGGAACACGUGGCCAAUCUGCCCACCGGCAGGGGGUAGCCCGCGGAAACGCGGGGUAAUUCCGUAUGCGCUCAGGGUCCGCGUGGGGAUGCUGAGGAAAGGGUCUUCGGGCCCGCCGGUGGAGGAGGCUGCGGCCGAUUAGCUAGCUGGUGGGGUCACGGCCUACCAGGGCGAUGAUCGGUAGCUGGUCUGAGAGGAUGAUCAGCCACACGGGGACUGAGACACGGCCCCGACUCCUACGGGAGGCAGCAGCAAGGAAUUUUCCGCAAUGGGCGCAAGCCUGACGGAGCAACGCCGCGUGCGGGAUGACGCUUUUCGGAGUGUAAACCGCUGUUCGUGGGGACGAAGCACUGACGGUACCCACGGAGGAAGGCCCGGCUAACUACGUGCCAGCAGCCGCAGUAAAAC
This 484-nucleotide ribosomal RNA is filed under the name uncultured bacterium. RNAcentral's name for it is "bacterial SSU rRNA". It matches the Rfam family "Bacterial small subunit ribosomal RNA", at positions 28 to 526 of the family's 1533-position model. The record is from RNAcentral.